CUGGUUGAUCCUGCCAGUGGUCAUACGCUUGUCUCAAAGAUGAAGCCAUGCAUGUCUCAAUGUAAGCUUCUAUACGGUGAAACUGCGAAUGGCUCAUUAAAACAAUUACAAUUAAUGUGAUGUUUACUCCUUACAUGGACAACUGUGGUAACUCUAGAGCUAAUACAUGCUCCCAAACCUGACUCCGUGGAAGGUUUGUGUUUAUUAAUUACAGAACCAACCCAGGCUCUGCCUGGUCUUGUGGUGGUUCAUAGUAACUGAAUGAAUCGCAUUGCAUCAGCUGGCGAUGAGUCAUUCAAGU
RNAcentral lists this ribosomal RNA (301 nucleotides) under uncultured eukaryote. RNAcentral describes it as "SSU rRNA". It matches the Rfam family "Eukaryotic small subunit ribosomal RNA", at positions 4 to 304 of the family's 1831-position model. The record is from RNAcentral.